This 467-nucleotide ribosomal RNA is filed under the name uncultured bacterium. Its description in RNAcentral is "partial 16S ribosomal RNA". It matches the Rfam family "Bacterial small subunit ribosomal RNA", at positions 28 to 506 of the family's 1533-position model. The record is from RNAcentral.
GACGAACGCUGGCGGCGUGCUUAACACAUGCAAGUCGAACGGAAAGGCCCUGCUUUUGUGGGGUGCUCGAGUGGCGAACGGGUGAGUAACACGUGAGUAACCUGCCCUUGACUUUGGGAUAACUUCAGGAAACUGGGGCUAAUACCGGAUAGGAGCUCCUGCUGCAUGGUGGGGGUUGGAAAGUUUCGGCGGUUGGGGAUGGACUCGCGGCUUAUCAGCUUGUUGGUGGGGUAGUGGCUUACCAAGGCUUUGACGGGUAGCCGGCCUGAGAGGGUGACCGGCCAAAUGGGGACUGAGAUACGGCCCAGACUCCUACGGGAGGCAGGAGGGGGGAAUAUUGCACAAUGGGGGGAAGCCUGAUGCAGCAACGCCGGGGGGGGGAUGACGGCCUUCGGGUUGUAAACCUCUUUCGCCUGGGACGAAGGGUGGGUGACGGUAAUGGGUAAAGAAGCACCGGCUAACUACGU